This 348-nucleotide ribosomal RNA is filed under the name uncultured bacterium. Its description in RNAcentral is "bacterial SSU rRNA". It matches the Rfam family "Bacterial small subunit ribosomal RNA", at positions 163 to 507 of the family's 1533-position model. The record is from RNAcentral.
UUAAUACCGCAUAAUAUGCCGAAGUCGCAUGACUUUGGUAUUAAAGCAGCAAUGCACUUAGAGAUGAGUGUGCGUCCCAUUAGGUAGUUGGUGAGGUAACGGCUCACCAAGCCUAUGAUGGGUAGCCGGUCUGAGAGGAUGGUCGGCCACACGGGCACUGAGACACGGGCCCGACUCCUGCGGGAGGCAGCAGUAAGGAAUAUUGGUCAAUGGUGGAAACACUGAACCAGCCAUGCCACGUGGAGGAAUAAGGUCCUACGGAUUGUAAACUCCUUUUGACGAGGAAGAAAAUGUUAGAUUUAUCUAAUUUUGACGGUACUCGUAGAAUAAGCACCGGCUAACUCCGUG